UACGUAGGGGCUAGCGUUAUCCGGAAUUACUGGGCGUAAAGGGUGCGUAGGCGGUCUUUCAAGCCAGAAGUGAAAGGCUACGGCUCAACCGUAGUAAGCUUUUGGAACUGUAAGACUUGAGUGCAGGAAAGGAGAGUGGAAUUCCUAGUGUAGCGGUGAAAUGCGUAGAUAUUAGGAGGAACACCAGUAGCGAAGGCGGCUCUCUGGACUGUAACUGAUGCUGAGGCACGAAAGCGUGGGGAGCAAACAGGAUUAGAUACCCGCGUAGUCCCUGA
RNAcentral lists this ribosomal RNA (275 nucleotides) under uncultured prokaryote. Its description in RNAcentral is "partial 16S ribosomal RNA". It matches the Rfam family "Bacterial small subunit ribosomal RNA", at positions 524 to 800 of the family's 1533-position model. The record is from RNAcentral.